CCGGAGUGGACGCAUCACUGGUGUUCGGGUUGUCAUGCCAAUGGCACUGCCCGGUAGCUAAAUGCGGAAGAGAUAAGUGCUGAAAGCAUCUAAGCACGAAACUUGCCCCGAGAUGAGUUCUCCCUGAGACUUUAAGUCUCCUGAAGGAACGUUGAAGACGACGACGUUGAUAGGUCGGGUGUGUAAGCGCAGCGAUGCGUUGAGCUAACCGAUACUAAUGAACCGUGAGGCUUAACCUUACAACGCCGAAGGUGUUU
This 257-nucleotide ribosomal RNA is filed under the name Enterobacteriaceae bacterium 8376wB9. RNAcentral describes it as "partial 23S ribosomal RNA". It matches the Rfam family "Bacterial large subunit ribosomal RNA", at positions 2692 to 2925 of the family's 2925-position model. The record is from RNAcentral. Lineage: Bacteria; Pseudomonadati; Pseudomonadota; Gammaproteobacteria; Enterobacterales; Enterobacteriaceae.